AUUAGCGGAUGACCUGUGGCUGGGGGUGAAAGGCCAAUCAAACCGGGAGAUAGCUGGUUCUCCCCGAAAGCUAUUUAGGUAGCGCCUCGUGAAUUCAUCUCCGGGGGUAGAGCACUGUUUCGGCUAGGGGGCCAUCCCGGCUUACCAACCCGAUGCAAACUGCGAAUACCGGAGAAUGUUAUCACGGGAGACACACGGCGGGUGCUAACGUCCGUCGUGAAGAGGGAAACAACCCAGACCGCCAGCUAAGGUCCCAAAGUCAUGGUUAAGUGGGAAACGAUGUGGGAAGGCCCAGACAGCCAGGAUGUUGGCUUAGAAGCAGCCAUCAUUUAAAGAAAGCGUAAUAGCUCACUGGUCGAGUCGGCCUGCGCGGAAGAUGUAACGGGGCUAAACCAUGCACCGAAGCUGCGGCAGCGACGCUCAGGCGUUGUUGGGUAGGGGAGCGUUCUGUAAGCCUGUGAAGGUGGCCUGUGAGGGUUGCUGGAGGUAUCAGAAGUGCGAAUGCUGACAUAAGUAACGAUAAAGCGGGUGAAAAGCCCGCUCGCCGGAAGACCAAGGGUUCCUGUCCAACGUUAAUCGGGGCAGGGUGAGUCGACCCCUAAGGCGAGGCCGAAAGGCGUAGUCGAUGGGAAACGGGUUAAUAUUCCCGUACUUGGUGUUACUGCGAAGGGGGGACGGAGAAGGCUAUGUUGGCCGGGCGACGGUUGUCCCGGUUUAAGCGUGUAGGUGUGUGUUCCAGGUAAAUCCGGUUCACUUUAACACUGAGGCGUGACGACGAGGCACUACGGUGCUGAAGCAACAAAUGCCCUGCUUCCAGGAAAAGCCUCUAAGCAUCAGGUAACAUCAAAUCGUACCCCAAACCGACACAGGUGGUCAGGUAGAGAAUACCAAGGCGCUUGAGAGAACUCGGGUGAAGGAACUAGGCAAAAUGGUGCCGUAACUUCGGGAGAAGGCACGCUGACACGUAGGUGAAGUGAUUUACUCAUGGAGCUGAAGUCAGUCGAAGAUACCAGCUGGCUGCAACUGUUUAUUAAAAACACAGCACUGUGCAAACACGAAAGUGGACGUAUACGGUGUGACGCCUGCCCGGUGCCGGAAGGUUAAUUGAUGGGGUCAGCGCAAGCGAAGCUCCUGAUCGAAGCCCCGGUAAACGGCGGCCGUAACUAUAACGGUCCUAAGGUAGCGAAAUUCCUUGUCGGGUAAGUUCCGACCUGCACGAAUGGCGUAAUGAUGGCCAGGCUGUCUCCACCCGAGACUCAGUGAAAUUGAACUCGCUGUGAAGAUGCAGUGUACCCGCGGCAAGACGGAAAGACCCCGUGAACCUUUACUAUAGCUUGACACUGAACAUUGAGCCUUGAUGUGUAGGAUAGGUGGGAGGCUUUGAAGCGUGGACGCCAGUCUGCGUGGAGCCGACCUUGAAAUACCACCCUUUAAUGUUUGAUGUUCUAACGUGGACCCGUUACCCGGGUUGCGGACAGUGUCUGGUGGGUAGUUUGACUGGGGCGGUCUCCUCCUAAAGAGUAACGGAGGAGCACGAAGGUUGGCUAAUCCUGGUCGGACAUCAGGAGGUUAGUGCAAUGGCAUAAGCCAGCUUGACUGCGAGCGUGACGGCGCGAGCAGGUGCGAAAGCAGGUCAUAGUGAUCCGGUGGUUCUGAAUGGAAGGGCCAUCGCUCAACGGAUAAAAGGUACUCCGGGGAUAACAGGCUGAUACCGCCCAAGAGUUCAUAUCGACGGCGGUGUUUGGCACCUCGAUGUCGGCUCAUCACAUCCUGGGGCUGAAGUAGGUCCCAAGGGUAUGGCUGUUCGCCAUUUAAAGUGGUACGCGAGCUGGGUUUAGAACGUCGUGAGACAGUUCGGUCCCUAUCUGCCGUGGGCGCUGGAGAACUGAGGGGGGCUGCUCCUAGUACGAGAGGACCGGAGUGGACGCAUCACUGGUGUUCGGGUUGUCAUGCCAAUGGCACUGCCCGGUAGCUAAAUGCGGAAGAGAUAAGUGCUGAAAGCAUCUAAGCACGAAACUUGCCCCGA
RNAcentral lists this ribosomal RNA (2026 nucleotides) under Salmonella enterica subsp. enterica serovar Oslo. Its description in RNAcentral is "partial 23S ribosomal RNA". It matches the Rfam family "Bacterial large subunit ribosomal RNA", at positions 796 to 2802 of the family's 2925-position model. Lineage: Bacteria; Pseudomonadati; Pseudomonadota; Gammaproteobacteria; Enterobacterales; Enterobacteriaceae. The record is from RNAcentral.